This 1629-nucleotide long non-coding RNA is filed under the name Papio anubis (olive baboon). Its description in RNAcentral is "lncRNA (ENSPANG00000042792.1)". Lineage: Eukaryota; Metazoa; Chordata; Mammalia; Primates; Cercopithecidae. The record is from RNAcentral.
CUUACAUAUUUCCUCCUUCCCUUUUACAAGAUAACCCUAAGGGUUCUAAGGGUUGCAAAAGGAUGAAGGGUUGCAGAAGGAUGAAGGUCCGUCUCCUGCAAUUUUUUCAUGCUGAAUAGGGUCUAUGAUAUUCCUGCCUAACUAUUGGGGUCUCUUGUAUUUAGGGUAGAGAGGAGCUCAAUCAGAAAGCAUUAGUCCGUUAAGCAUCGGUUGUACCUCUGAGUUCCAGCAAAAGGUAAAACUCUGGCGCUCCAGCAGUUUCUCAGCUUCCUGUGUGGUUUCCUUGAUCUGUCCCCAUGGUACCUGUUAGUUCCUGCAAGUUCCUGCAAGUCUCUGUCUGUCCCUACCUAUCUCUCUUUCCUUAUCUCUAUUUCCUUAUCUCUACUUAUUUCUUAUUGUCCCUGCAGGCCUCUUCAGGUCCCUUCAGGUCUCUGUCCCUGAUAGUUCCUUUAAGUUUCUGCUAGUCUUUGCUAGUCUCUACUUUUGUAUCUCUUUAGGACACUGACCUUAUAUUGCUCUUAUAUUGCUAGUCUUUGCUAGUCUUUAUCCCUAUCUGUCCCUAUUUGUCCCUGUUCGGGCACCACUUGUGACUGACUGCCAUGGUUACUACUUGAGGCCAUCACUACAACAGUUACUACUGUUACUGCUUGAGACCAUCAUUAUGACUGAACAAAGGGAUAAACACAGAAAUGAUGACAAAAGAAACUAUUUAAAGGAAAGGCUAGCAUGGAGAAGAGGAAGAGAGCUCCCUGCUUCUAGUGAGCAAAGGCAGCCCCCCCUUGAGCUUCUACAGCCCUUCUUAUUAGGUAACAAGAGCAAGGAGGAGGAGAAAACCUAUGCCAACCAUGCUCAGAGGAGAUGUAAUGACAGAGAAAGCUUUAAAGAGAUGUUACAUUAUAAGGACUUGACCUCUGCUUUCUGGGACUGAAGACGGAGAAAUGAGGCGAUAAACCAAGAUGGAGUCUUGCUCUGUCACCAAGGCUGGAGUAUAAUGGUGUGAUCUCAGCUUACUGCAACCUCUGCCUCCUGGGUUCAGUCGAUUCCCCUGCCUCAGCCUCCCAAGUAGCUGGAACUACAGGCACGUGCCACCAUGUUUGGCUAAUUUUUGUAUUUUUAGUACAGACAUGGUUUCAUCAUCUUGGCCUGGCUAAUUUUUGUAUCUUUAGUAGAGAUGAGGUUUCACCAUGUUGACCAGGCUGGUCUUGAACUCCUGACCUCAAGUGAUCCUCCUGCCUUGGCCUCUCAAAAUUCUGGGACUGCAGGUGGGAGCUACCACACCUGGCCUAUUAUUUGUCUGUUCUUUAUCCAAUAUCACACUAUCUUGGAUACUAUAGCUUUAAAAGAAGACUUGAAAUCAGGUAGUGUAAAUUAUUCGGUUUUAUUUGACUAGUUCAAUAUUGUGUUUACUAUUCUGGGAUUUUUGCAUCUUUCUAUAAACUGUAUUAUCAGUUUGUUGAUAUCCACAAACAACAUUCUGUGAUUUUGAUUGAAAUUAAAUUGAAUAUGUAGAUAAAAUUAGAAAGAACUGACAUAGUGACAAUAUUGAGAUUUCUUGUUCAUGAACAUAGGCUAACCCUUAAUUUAUUCAGAUCUUCUUCAGUUUUGUACUCAUUAGAAUUCAGUAGAUUU